Molecule: transfer RNA, 67 nt
Filed under: Pentacheles laevis
Lineage: Eukaryota; Metazoa; Arthropoda; Malacostraca; Decapoda; Polychelidae
Description: tRNA-Arg
Source: RNAcentral
AAUUAGAAAGUAAUCAUUACAUUUAGUUUCGGCCUAAAAAUAUGGCCCAAAUCUAGGCCUCUAAUUU